Molecule: small RNA, 94 nt
Filed under: Castor canadensis (American beaver)
Lineage: Eukaryota; Metazoa; Chordata; Mammalia; Rodentia; Castoridae
Description: 7SK RNA (ENSCCNG00000030372.1)
Rfam family: 7SK RNA
About the family: 7SK was discovered as an abundant small nuclear RNA in the mid-70s but a possible function has only recently been suggested. Two independent studies have found that 7SK RNA binds the CDK9/cyclin T complex (known as elongation factor P-TEFb).
Source: RNAcentral
ACCGUUCUUCGGUCAAGGGUAUACGAGUAGCUGCGCUCCCCUGCUAGAACCUCCAAACAAGCUCUCAAAUUUGUAGUACAUAGCUAAGAUAGGG